This 477-nucleotide ribosomal RNA is filed under the name Candidatus Brocadia fulgida. RNAcentral's name for it is "bacterial SSU rRNA". It matches the Rfam family "Bacterial small subunit ribosomal RNA", at positions 365 to 832 of the family's 1533-position model. The record is from RNAcentral. Lineage: Bacteria; Pseudomonadati; Planctomycetota; Candidatus Brocadiia; Candidatus Brocadiales; Candidatus Brocadiaceae.
UUCGCAAUGCCCGAAAGGGUGACGAAGCGACGCCGCGUGUGGGAAGAAGGCCUUCGGGUUGUAAACCACUGUCGGGAGUUAGGAAAUGUAAGGGUGCUAAUAGUAUCCUUACUUGACUAAGGCUCCGGAGGAAGCCACGGCUAACUCUGUGCCAGCAGCCGCGGUAAUACAGAGGCGGCAAGCGUUGUUCGGAAUUAUUGGGCGUAAAGAGCACGUAGGCGGCCUUGUAAGUCAGUUGUGAAAGCCUUCUGCUUAACGGAAGAACAGCAGCUGAUACUGCAAGGCUAGAGUACGGAAGGGGAGAGUGGAACUUCUGGUGGAGCGGUGAAAUGCGUAGAUAUCAGAAGGAACACCGGCGGCGAAAGCGACUCUCUGGCCUAUUACUGACACUGAGUGUGCGAAAGUUAGGGGAGCAAACGGGAUUAGAUACCCCGGUAGUCCUAACUGUAAACGAUGGGCACUAAGUAGAGGGGUUUU